This 1833-nucleotide ribosomal RNA is filed under the name metagenome. RNAcentral describes it as "bacterial LSU rRNA". It matches the Rfam family "Bacterial large subunit ribosomal RNA", at positions 114 to 1988 of the family's 2925-position model. The record is from RNAcentral.
CCGAAUGGGGAAACCCACCUCUUAGGAGGUAUCCUUAUCUGAAUACAUAGGAUUAGAGAAGCGAACCCGGAGAACUGAACCAUCUAAGUACCCGGAGGAAAAGAAAUCAACCGAGAUUCCGCAAGUAGUGGCGAGCGAACGCGGAGGAGCCUGUACGUAAUAACUGUCGAGAUAGAAGAACAAGCUGGGAAGCUUGACCAUAGUGGGUGAUAGUCCCGUAUUCGAAAUCUCAACGGUGGUACUAAGCGUACGAAAAGUAGGGCGGGACACGUGAAAUCCUGUCUGAAUAUGGGGGGACCAUCCUCCAAGGCUAAAUACUCAUCAUCGACCGAUAGUGAACCAGUACCGUGAGGGAAAGGCGAAAAGAACCCCGGGAGGGGAGUGAAAUAGAACCUGAAACCUGAUGCAUACAAACAGUGGGAGCACCCAUGUGGUGUGACUGCGUACCUUUUGUAUAAUGGGUCAACGACUUACAUUCAGUAGCGAGCUUAACCGAAUAGGGGAGGCGUAGGGAAACCGAGUCUUAAUAGGGCGAAGAGUUGCUGGGUGUAGACCCGAAACCGAGUGAUCUAUCCAUGGCCAGGUUGAAGGUGCCGUAACAGGUACUGGAGGACCGAACCCACGCAUGUUGCAAAAUGCGGGGAUGAGCUGUGGAUAGGGGUGAAAGGCUAAACAAACUCGGAGAUAGCUGGUUCUCCCCGAAAACUAUUUAGGUAGUGCCUCGAGCAAGACACUGAUGGGGGUAAAGCACUGUUAUGGCUAGGGGGUUAUUGCAACUUACCAACCCAUGGCAAACUAAGAAUACCAUCAAGUGGUUCCUCGGGAGACAGACAGCGGGUGCUAACGUCCGUUGUCAAGAGGGAAACAACCCAGACCGCCAGCUAAGGUCCCAAAUGAUAGAUUAAGUGGUAAACGAAGUGGGAAGGCCCAGACAGCCAGGAUGUUGGCUUAGAAGCAGCCAUCAUUUAAAGAAAGCGUAAUAGCUCACUGGUCGAGUCGUCCUGCGCGGAAGAUGUAACGGGGCUCAAAUCUAUAACCGAAGCUGCGGAUGCCAGUUUACUGGCAUGGUAGGGGAGCGUUCUGUAGGCCGAUGAAGGUGCAUUGUAAAGUGUGCUGGAGGUAUCAGAAGUGCGAAUGUUGACAUGAGUAGCGAUAAAGCGGGUGAAAAGCCCGCUCGCCGAAAGCCCAAGGUUUCCUACGCAACGUUCAUCGGCGUAGGGUGAGUCGGCCCCUAAGGCGAGGCAGAAAUGCGUAGUCGAUGGGAAACAGGUUAAUAUUCCUGUACUUGAUUCAAAUGCGAUGUGGGGACGGAGAAGGUUAGGUUAGCAAGCUGUUGGAAUAGCUUGUUUAAGCCGGUAGGUGGAAGACUUAGGCAAAUCCGGGUCUUCUUAACACCGAGAAGUGANGACGAGUGUCUACGGACAUGAAGUAACCGAUACCACGCUUCCAGGAAAAGCCACUAAGCUUCAGUUUGAAUCGAACCGUACCGCAAACCGACACAGGUGGGCAGGAUGAGAAUUCUAAGGCGCUUGAGAGAACUCGGGAGAAGGAACUCGGCAAAUUGAUACCGUAACUUCGGGAGAAGGUAUGCCCUCUAAGGUUAAGGACUUGCUCCGUAAGCCUCGGAGGGUCGCAGAGAAUAGGUGGCUGCGACUGUUUAUUAAAAACACAGCACUCUGCUAACACGAAAGUGGACGUAUAGGGUGUGACGCCUGCCCGGUGCUGGAAGGUUAAUUGAAGAUGUGAGAGCAUCGGAUCGAAGCCCCAGUAAACGGCGGCCGUAACGAUAACGGUCCUAAGGUAGCGAAAUUCCUUGUCGGGUAAGUUCCGACC